RNAcentral lists this ribosomal RNA (208 nucleotides) under uncultured bacterium. RNAcentral's name for it is "partial 16S ribosomal RNA". It matches the Rfam family "Bacterial small subunit ribosomal RNA", at positions 568 to 775 of the family's 1533-position model. The record is from RNAcentral.
CGUGUAGGAGGCGCUACAAGUUGGAUGUGAAAGCUCCCGGCUUAACUGGGAGAGGUCGUUCAAGACUGUAGAGCUAGAGUGAGGCAGAGGUAGAUGGAACUCCGGGAGUAGUGGUGAAAUGCGUAGAUAUCCGGAAGAACACCAGAGGCGAAAGCGAUCUACUGGACCUAAACUGACACUGAGACGCGAAAGCCAGGGUAGCAAACGG